GGGCGGGAGCCUGAACCAGCCAAGUAGCGUGAAGGACGACGGCCCUACGGGUUGUAAACUUCUUUUAUAAGGGAAUAAAGUUCGCCACGUGUGGUGUUUUGUAUGUACCUUAUGAAUAAGCAUCGGCUAAUUCCGUGCCAGCAGCCGCGGUAAUACGGAAGAUGCGAGCGUUAUCCGGAUUUAUUGGGUUUAAAGGGAGCGUAGGCGGGCUUUUAAGUCAGCGGUCAAAUGUCGUGGCUCAACCAUGUCAAGCCGUUGAAACUGUAAGCCUUGAGUCUGCACAGGGCACAUGGAAUUCGUGGUGUAGCGGUGAAAUGCAUAGAUAUCACGAAGAACUCCGAUUGCGAAGGCAGCAUGCCGCAGCACCACUGACGCUGAUGCUCGAAGGUGCGGGUAUCGAACAGGAUUAGAUACCCUGGUAGUCCGCACGGUAAACGAUGAAUGCUCGCUAUGGGCGAUAUAUUGUCCGUGGCCAAGCGAAAGCGUUAAGCAUUCCACCUGGGGAGUACGCCGGCAACGGUGAAACUCAAAGGAAUUGACGGGGGCCCGCACAAGCGGAGGAACAUGUGGUUUAAUUCGAUGAUACGCGAGGAACCUUACCCGGGCUUGAAUUGCAGGUGCAUGGACAAGAGAUUGUCCUUUCCUUCGGGACUCCUGUGAAGGUGCUGCAUGGUUGUCGUCAGCUCGUGCCGUGAGGUGUCGGCUUAAGUGCCAUAACGAGCGCAACCCUUCUCCCCAGUUGCCAUCGGGUAAUGCCGGGCCCUCUGGGGACACUGCCAUCGUAAGAUGCGAGGAAGGUGGGGAU
This 805-nucleotide ribosomal RNA is filed under the name human gut metagenome. RNAcentral's name for it is "bacterial SSU rRNA". It matches the Rfam family "Bacterial small subunit ribosomal RNA", at positions 373 to 1180 of the family's 1533-position model. The record is from RNAcentral.